CCUACGGGAGGCAGCAGUGAGGAAUAUUGGUCAAUGGAGGCAACUCUGAACCAGCCAUGCCGCGUGAAGGAUGACGGCCCUAUGGGUUGUAAACUUCUUUUAUAUGGGAAGAAACUUAUCUACGUGUAGAUAACUGACGGUACCAUACGAAUAAGGAUCGGCUAACUCCGUGCCAGCAGCCGCGGUAAUACGGAGGAUCCAAGCGUUAUCCGGAUUCAUUGGGUUUAAAGGGUCCGUAGGCGGAUUUUUAAGUCAGUGGUGAAAGCCGACAGCUCAACUGUCGAACUGCCAUUGAUACUGGAGAUCUUGAGUACAAAUGAAGUAGGCGGAAUGAGUCAUGUAGCGGUGAAAUGCAUAGAUAUGACUCAGAACACCAAUUGCGAAGGCAGCUUACUAACAUGUAACUGACGCUGAGGGACGAAAGCGUGGGGAGCGAACAGGAUUAGAUACCCUGGUAGUCCACGCCGUAAACGAUCAUCACUCGCUGUUGGCGAUAUACAGUCAGCGGCCAAGCGAAAGUAUUAAGUGAUGCACCUGGGGAGUACGCCGGCAACGGUGAAACUCAAAGGAAUUGACGG
This 578-nucleotide ribosomal RNA is filed under the name uncultured bacterium. RNAcentral describes it as "bacterial SSU rRNA". It matches the Rfam family "Bacterial small subunit ribosomal RNA", at positions 338 to 916 of the family's 1533-position model. The record is from RNAcentral. RNAcentral also lists the same sequence under 1 other name.